AAUUCAUAAUCUGAGAUUGUCCUAAAGGGGAAGGUUAUCAAAGGGGUUUAUCAGGCUGGAAGAAUAAGACGAUUUGAAUCAGGAACCAGGUAAAAAUCUGAGUAAUCUUUUAACAGAUGUGGGCUCAGCAGGAUUGGUGGUAUGUGCUGACUGUAUUCAGGGUCAGAUGGGGUGCAAGUAUGUCAGGAGUCGCUACAAUCCAGCAAACCUGUAGAGACAAAGCUGGAGAGCAGAAAGACGCCAGCACCAGAAUGACCAGUAGAGGGAGGCAGAGAGACAGGAACCAGCCAAUCCAUGACUGACAGCUUAUGUGUGCAACUUUACAGAGUGAACUGAUGUCCUUUCUUUGUUUCUCUUACACAAUAUGGACUUUACACUGCAAAUAAAUGGAAAAUAAGGUUUUAUUCAGUCAUUCAUCUUCUAAAUUUCAAUCAGGUUGGAGGUUACUGCAGCCAUCUGACAUGUUGUGCACCCUGAAUAACUUUCCAGUCCAUAGUAAGGUGGAUUUAAUAAUUUAUUCAAGAUCUCCUAAACUGUAAAGCUGCGUUCACAACCGCCGUCUGCAGCGCAAGAGACCAAUUCUGAUGAAAAGUGUGAAAGUCUCCAUCGGCUACUUUGAUGUCUCCCUCUUUGCUGAUCUUGAACCAGCUGAAGCUGAUGUGAGGAGGAUUGGCUCUGCUGGAGCAGGUCAGGUUCACCCAGCUACCUACUGGGACCAAACCCAACGGACUGAUCGAUACUGAGGUGUCCUUAGGAGCAUCUAAGAAAAUUAAAACUCAGAUUAACUUUAUUGGAUAACUGACAGAACAGUUGAUGGUGAAUCCAUCAUGAGCGUCUGACAGAGUGAUGUUCUUCUGGAUUUUACUUGUAAAUGUUAAAUUUGAGUUUUUCUCAGUUUGUCUUUGAGAGUCUGUUUGAAGAUUCCAGGUGAGUUCAGGAGGAGAUUGAGGGCAGGGAGUGUUAGCUGAGCAGGUGACAGUGACAGACUCCUCCUCCUUCAGAUCAGCUGGGAUUUCAAUGGUGGGACUCCAAGCAGAAUCUGCGGUUUCACAUUAGUAACAGUUUAUUCAAGCAGAAAUUGACUAAUAAUUAAAUUGACACUCAUCUAUUAUUUUCUGAUGUGGUCAAAAUGGGAUUCCUGCGUGUGCUUAACAAGGAUGUGGUGGUGAAAGUGUUAUGUAAAACACCUGCAAAUAAAAUAUCAAGUCUGCA
Oryzias melastigma (Indian medaka) is the source of this 1212-nucleotide long non-coding RNA. RefSeq lists it as uncharacterized. NCBI's taxonomy places the organism in Eukaryota, Metazoa, Chordata, Actinopteri, Beloniformes, Adrianichthyidae. The transcript is spliced from 4 exons. The record is from RefSeq and is a predicted model, not a curated record.